AGAAAUAAAUUAGGUCCCAUUUGUUUCUUCCAAGACUUGUCAGCCCCAUCCUUCCUCUCAUUUCCUCUUAUGAACAAAAUACAAUCUUCUUCAUCUUCAACAUCAGAAUAUGCUAGAUCUUUUUGUGCAUGUGUCAUUUCCCUCUAUCUCAUAUUUUUUUCUUGAUGUUAUUCUUUUAUCUCUCUUUUUGGGGUGAAUCUUCAAGGAUCAGACCAAAUUUCACCAUUUCGGGCAUGGCCUGAAGCAUCACGUGAAGAUGAAGUCCGUCCAAACCUCCAACGUUUGGAUUCAAACGGAUGUGUUGACCAAGAUUUCGAAUUCAAAAUUUCAAGUUCCCGCUCUUCAGAAACCCUACCUUUUUAUCGCCUAUAAAUACUUCUCUAAGUCUCAGCCGAGGCCAAGCGGGGAGAAUGAUAAAAAUCUCAUCUAUCUUACUACUCUCUUAACACUGACCAUUGUUCUUUUAAAUUCGCUUCAUUUUAUAAAAACUGAUUCUACCGUCGAUCUUGUUCGCGGAGUAGAUCUGAAACCUCAAAAGCCUUAGUUCACUGCCCGCAAAAAGGUCAGUAACUGAAGUAUUUUUUUUCUCUCAUUUUUUUUCUUCUUCUUUGAAUAUCUGAAAUGAUUGUAUUUUUGUUUGAAUGAGCUGUAGUUUAUUAUGUGUGUGAAUUGUAAUUUAGAGUUAAAUGCUUAUUCUAAAGAUCAGAGAAGAGACACCAUCUGUUUGAAGUGCUAAUACAUCUUCUUUUGUUGUUUUCAAGUAACAGAAAAUGUAACUCUAGGAUUAGUCAAAUCUAGAUAUUGUAGGACUCAUACUUUACUGCUAUAAGAAUUAUCUCAUGAAUUUCGUUAGAAGAUAUAACCCAUGCUUGACUAACUGAUUCAUUUUGUUUAGCCUGAGUCACUCUGUUCUUCAUAAGAAACUUACUUUGCUUAUAGGAGUGAUCAUAGUUGACUGUUUUUUUGUAAUUGAAUAGUAUCAGGUAAACAUUGUAACUUAGUCAUAAUAUUUUCAUGACAUAAAGUUUGGCCAUUUAAGUUAAAUAUUGAACCUUGAUGGCUAGAGAUGUUGAAUACAAACUUAAUAUUUCUUCUUGAAGAAAACAGUAUUAUGUGGAGUGUUUCAUCUUAUAAACUACUAUGAGAUGAGUUUUAUUAUGAUUUUUACCUUUUUAUUUAUCUCUUAUGUAGUAUAAAGAAUCGGAUUCCAUUUUCUUCUAAUUCUUAUUUUUUGUUUGUCUUUGCAUGUGCACUUGGAGCUAACAUGGAGUCUUAACGCAAGACUCUUCAUACCCGAGCACGGAAUCUUCACAUCCCAUGUUCUUAUAGAGUUACCGGAUAGCAAGAAAACAAGCGAAAUGCUUGGAGACGCCUAUGACGUCUUUUAUUUUUCUUUUCUCUUAUCAUUUGUUUAGUUUUAUUUUUCUUUUCUCUUAUCAUUUGUAUUUUAUGAAUUGUUUAUCUGUUCUUAUUGCUUUAUAUAAAUUGUCAUUUCGUUUCACUUCCUCCACUUCUGGAUAAUUCACACAGAGCACACCUAGCGGUUACGUAAUUUGCGGCCGUGCACUUUUCAAAAAAGUACCUUUUAGGGGAAAGUUCAUGGGUAAGUCGAUUAGCGGUGCAGUCGACAGUCACAAACUUUCCACUCUCAAGUUGGCCGCUUGGGAAAGGACUAGUCUAGAAAAAACUCAUUCUUAGUCUGCCUAAGAUAGAGCUAAACCAAAAACCUUUUGAGAGCAUGCAUUAUUUUAACCUUAGGUGAUUUAAUACCCGAGGUGUAUUAAACCCGUUAGUUGACCUCACCUAAAUGUCCAAGUGGGUUUUCAACCCCAAGUGACACCUUAUCACGUAUAUGUGCAUUAUUUGAAGGAUGAACAUGCCAAUUAUGUGGAUCAUUUACUUUAAAUCCUAGUUAAAGGAGAAUGACUAUCUUUUUUUUAUAGCAUGUGUAAAGUUUUCAAAUGGCACAAUCUUGCGGAAUAACGAGAAGUUUACACAUGACAAAAAUAUCUUUUAUUGUACUUUCUUUUGAUUUUUUUACGUAAAAAUAAUUAAAAUGGCUUAAGCAAUUCAUGUGCUUUAUUUGCUUUUGAAAAAUAGAAUUACUUAAUUAAUUUAUUAUUAUAAAUAUAUUUUAUUAUACUUUCUUUUGUUCUUUUGAUGAAAAUACACUCCUUUUUUACAAAAAAAAAAAGGAAAGAUGUUUAAUCAGUUAUACUUUACUAUUUAUUUGCUUUUCAAAAUAGAAUUAUUAAUGGGAUGAUACAUAAUGACAUAUUUAUCUUUAAAAUAUACGUUAGGCCUACCUCUAGCACAAAAAGGUCCCUUACAUAUUAGGACGCACAAUGAUUUGCUAUACUUUGAAAUUUGUAGCAUGCUUGCUUGCUUAUUUGCUUGCUUGCUCUGUUGCUUAUUUGACUUCAUUAUUUUUACUAACAUCAUUUGUUGUUUUUCAGAAGAGGAAAAUAUUGACUAUCCAACUUGCUUACAGUUUUAUAUACUUUAUUUGUUUAUACAUUUUACAUUUUAUUUCAUCUUUCGAAUUAAUAAUAAUAAUAAUAAUAAUUACCAAUCAUUCCGCGCUUAGUGCUCUUCAACGACUCUAGAGCAUCGUUUAGGCAUUUUCUUAGGCCCAGAUUUCUCUUAGGUCCAUCCAAUUCUUAGAGUCCAAUUAAUAUAUCCUUUCAUUUUUGAAGUAGGACCUUUUGCCCGCAAACUCUCUAACAAGCUCGAUUCGUCAUGAUAUUCCUCGAUAUUCGUGCAUUCAACUAGGCUCAAGGAUUUUCUUUAAUUAACAAGAUGUAUAGUAAGAUUUCAUUAAAACCGGCAUAACUUUAAUAUUAGGUGGAAUAUUUUGCCCAUCUAAUUUUGAGAGUUAAUUUUAUUCAGGCUAUUUUUAUUAAAAUAUGGUUACAUGUUUUUAAAAUAUUGUCACUCGUGCCUUACAUAAUUUGUAUACCUUCGAUUCUUUCACGUCUUUUUCCCAAGGGCAUAAACUUAUAUUUUCACAAAAUAGAAUAUUUGUCACGUAGAUCUAUGUUCCGUAAAAUCUAUUUAGCGUUCUACGUAUGUCCUAGAAUUUCAACCUUCGUGCCGACUCUUAUUCACAAGUUGGUAGAUGUCCAAACUUGCGCAAUCUACCGAGCAAUAGAAGGCCACUAUUUGGUCAAUUUGCAUCGUCAAAUUAUUCUAAAUAUUUUUACCUAUUCAACUCAAGUGUCUAUAUCGUCUUAUUUCGGGUCGUCGAGAUUAAUCUUCACGCACCCGUUAAUUCUAAAUUUUGGCGCAUGAGAUGAGGUACUAUCCCAUAACUCUCAAAACGGUUGACACCAUAUUCCCAGGUCUCGAUAACUUUAUGAGUUGCCAAUGCUAAUAAAAUAUUUUUUUUAACUAUUUCAUGUCCAAGUGACUACCAUCUUUAUUAAUUAUCCAAAUCUCGAUCUUGUCUAUAUAUACAAAUACCAACAAAUUAUUUUCAAGAUAAAAAUCACCCAUUUUUGGAUCCUUUUAUACGUAGCCCUAUUAUAAGACUCGAUCCAUCGAUUUCUUAAGAAUGCAUUCUUAAAAGUUGUACCCUUAGUUUUAGUGCUUACCAUCUAUAUUCUGUCUUUCCUCUAAAGGUUGACUUAAGUUGAACAUCAAAGCAAGGAAAACUUCAAGGACGAUAUGGCUGACCAAAUCGUAGUAAUUGACUUAAUCGAAGACGAAGCUGUUGGUGAGAAAACAGAAUCAUACCAAGAUAAUAUUGCUAAGCUUGAAGUAAAGGUGGCACAAAUGGAGCAAGAAAUUGAUGGUAUUAAGGAAAUGAUAGCCGAUCUUAAGAACUCGUCCAACGAAAAAGGCUACUCUCCAAUUCGCACAGCUCCACCUCCUAUUUAUGAAUGUAAUGCCCAGUCUUUUCAAAAUAUGCACUCUUUCUUGCUAGAAAAGACAUUCAGUAGCUUGGCCGAGACAAGUAAGGAUAGAGAAAGUGGUAGAAAACAUUUCAAUGUAGAGAGUAACCAUGUUCCUUUGGGAAACGGUCAUGUCUUACAACUUGAGUCAGAUUUAGUUGUGGAAGAAAACGAAAAUGGGGAUAUUGCUAAUCUCACUGAUAUUCCAGUGUACAAUGGGAUAGGUUAUCCUCAAAGCCAUUUGAAGGCAUAUCAUGAUUGGCUAACAUGCAUAGGGCAAGAUAGUGAAUUUAAGCCGAGACUCUUUGUUAGGACACUUACAGGGCCAACAUUAAUGUGGUAUGCAAAGCAAGACAUAUGGAAAUGGUUCAGUUGGAAUAACCUAGUAAAGGACUUUGUCAAGCAAUAUGGGUCCUCCAACGAUACUACUAGUAGAUGCAGCUCGUUGAAGAGAAAAUCCAUAGAGUAUCCUCAGAAUUUGAAAGCAAACGAACCUCAAGGAAAUGUGGUAGAAUCAACUUUCAAGCUUGGCAAGCCGGUUAAGAUACACCUCCAGGAUAAAGGGAAAGGAGUGAUUACUAAAGUAUUAAAUCCUCCACCAUCAGUACCUAAGAUAGGAAAAUCACAAAACUUUACCCCUUUGAGUGAAUGGCCUUCUAUCAUUUUUGAGAGAUUGAGAUCAUUUGGUAUCAUGCAACCAAAACCUGCCAAAAUCCCUCUACCACAUUUCAAUCCAACCAAAUGUUGCGCAUUUCACUCGGGCAUGCUAGGCCAUACAACAGAUGAGUGUCAUUGUCUGAAAGAGGAAAUCCAGAAGCUGUUGGAUAAUGGUAGGGUCAUUCAGAGACCGGUGCCUCCCCCUCAAUCUACGUGGUACCAACUUCCAAAUGUCAUCCCUAUACAUAAUUUCACCCAAGUAGCUUAUCCGUAAUUUGCUAAUUCAUCUCUUCCCUACAACCAAGCAAUACAAAAGAAUUGAGCAUGUGGAAGAGCCUCUCAGAAGAAGAAUAGUUCGAAAUCGUAACUAAGAUUUAGUUUUUGAAGUAGCAGUAUCAUUAGAAGUUAUGCUAUUUUGUACACUUAAUUGAUCAUCUUUUGUAUCCAUCUUUUGUAACGAACUAUGACCAGCUUGAUUCUUGUCAGAUAUCGAGUUCAACACUUUUAUUUUAAAAUUUUCGAUCCUUAUUUGUAUGUAACUGAACUACGUCGGACAUGAUUCCCUUGGUGGGAUACGUAGGCAAUCCACAUCGGGUUCGGUCAUAUUUUAGUAAAAUUAUCCUUUAUGUAUUUUGGAACUACGUUAGACCUAAUUCCCGUGGUGGGAUACGUAGGCAGUCUAUAUAAGGCCCGGUCUCAUUAUAGCAAAAUUUUUCAUUUUCCUUCAUGAAAGAAACUGGGGCAGAUUAUUGGCACGCAGAUUGAGUAUGCUAAACAUGAAAUCAUGCCAUCGAGUAGUCAUCAGAGACUUCCUAAAGACUGGGGAAAUGUUUUAAAGUAUGCCAGAGUCAUGAAAUGACAAAAACGUGUGCUAGAGCUAAAGCUUUAAUGUUCGACAUGAGUCAACUUUUUCACAAAAUUUCAAAUCAAUUCGCUUCCAUGUCAACAAUUCUCGAGUGUUAGAGCUCUCUAGAUACGAUUCAUUCUCGUCCAUCCAUUUUACAACAUAAGCCAUCAUUUCUAGUUUAGGGCUCUUACUUAACCAUAGCAUGAAUUAAUCUAUAUAAUCAUAUACUCUAUUAUUUUUAUGCAUUUAUUUCAUUAUGACGAAUACGCUAACACUUUAUUUUUGUAUAGUUUUAUUUUUCCUUUUAAGGUUGCCUAGCAUUGAACACUGUUUUGGCUACGAAUAUGCAUAAAGGACGAGGCUAUAAUGACAGACCAAUUUGUAGAAUUCAGCACUAGUAAGGGACUUUUGCAAGCACAUACUAAUGGUACCAAGGCGAAUGUGGUACGACGUAACGUGUUGGUUAAUCUCGGAAAUACUUUUGACCUGCUUCCAAAUACUAUUUCUAUUUCCAGCUCAAAGCAGAACAUUUGUUUAACAAUAUUUCCUUGCCCAACUCCUACUUAUACAAUCUCUCCACAAAUACCAUUAAACUAUACUCCCAAUCAAGCCAUGAUGAUACCCAAUAUCCAACCUACUACGGCUCCAAUUCCUUCUGGGGAAACCAACCAAGAGCAAUUUGCAUUGUGCCAAUAUGCAAGAAUGGAAAGAAAAAUUAAGUCAAGUACCCAAAAUAAUUUGGAUAAUGAGCUCCACAAUCUAAGGAAAGCCAUUGAAAAAGAGUUGCAAUCAAGAAGUUAUCAAAGUCUGAGAUAUAAAGAUUUGUGUUUGCAUCCACAUGUUGAGCUUCUGGCAGGGUACAAGCUGCCAAAGUUCAGCACUUUUAAUGGGAUUGGAGAUCCCGUUGCUCAUUUAAAGGAUUACUGCAGUAGAUUGAUUAGUAUUGGACAUAAUGAGGCCAUUCGAAUGAGAUUAUUCAUUCAAAGUUUGUCCGGAUUAGCGCUGACUUGGUACACCAGACAAGACUUUAGGAAAUGGCGUAUAUGGGAAGAUAUGGCUCGCGAUUUUGUGAAAUAAUAUGAGUUUAACAUUGGACGUGAUCCGCACAUGGCUGAUUUUCUCAAAGUAAAGAAAAUGCCGCAUGAAUCUUUUCAAAAGUAUGCCAUACAAUGGAGAUUAGAAGCUUCAAAAAUACAUCCUCCAUUGCCUGAGAGAGAAUUGAUCUCAACCUUCAUUCAAAUUCAAAAAGGCAUAUAUUUUGAUAAGUUGCUCGCAACUUGUGCACGCAAUUUCUCUGAUUUUGUUCGAAUUGGAAACGAGCUAGAAUGUGGCAUUCAUGAAGAAAGAAUUGUGGGCAAUUCAGCAACUCAAACCAUUAACCAAACCUUCCAUCAAGAGAUAUCUGAAAAUCUGCAAAGCAAAAAGAAAGAAGAUAGCUCAGUUGCCAUGACUGCUAUUCACCAGCCACAAUGCCAUGAGAAUCACCAAUUUUUGCAAUCUUAUUCCACUUCCAACUUACACAACAGUCACCUCCAGCCUAAUUGCUAGCAAAAUUUUUAGCAAAACACCCGGAAGCAAUCUCCCCGAGCACAAUCUAACCUUCGACAAAAAAAAUGAAGCACUGCUCUUUCACUACUUUGGAUGAGCCAUUGGUUAACAUACAUGAAAGAUUGAAAGCCAAAGGUCUUCUACAACCAAGGAAUGGAUUUAUCUCUAAACAUCCACCUCAAAACUUUGAUCCAUCCAAAAAUUGUGCAUUCCAUUCAAACAUUCAAGGACAUGACACCGAAGAAUGUCCAGCACUCAAAUUCAAGAUACAAAGCAUGAUUGAGCAAGGCAAAAUAAAAAUACAACCUGAGUUACCAAGCAAUAAUUGUGAAAUUUCAACUGCAGACACAAUUAUUGUCAAAGGCGAUCCAUCAAAAUUAGCACGAUGUUUGAAAAGAAAACGCAUAGCAGAUCAAAAAGACUGAGAAUGAUGUCAUAUCGCAACCAUUCUCCACCCGCCCAUCCUUAGUACUAUGUUUUUGCAAUUCUUUGAGACUUUUGUAAUGAACUACGUUUUGACCUAAUUCCCAUUUAAGAGGGGAUACGUAAGCAGCCCUAUGGCUUCGGUCUCAAUAUAAUAAAAUUUUAUUUCCCCCAAAAGUCAGAACCGGGGCAAAUUUCGCAGAAGGAUUCUCAAUAUUCGGCAAGGUAGAAGUCAGAUUUUUUAACUAAAUUCUGGUCAUCUUCGCAUCAGCAAGUUUGAAAUGCCAUCACAAUACAAUUGCAGAUUCAAUGUUGAAACUUUGAUGUUCGAUGCAAGGAAACGAUCAUUUUUUAUACUAACAGCUUUCUUUGAGUAAUGUAGGGGCAACCUUUAGCUAUUCUUGAAUGAUAUUAUACACUAUUUAGAAGCUCAACAUCAAGUCAGAAGUUGGAAGAGGAAGAAAAGGAUCAAGCCAAGUUAUCGCAAAUUAUAUUUUGAAACUCAUAGUUUUCUUUGAGUGCAGAAAUUUACUUGAAUAUUAUUGGCACCGCUCCCUGAAUAUUUGCUUUCAUAAAGGCACUGCAUCAAGCUCUCCGCACCAUGGAUAUUCGCUACUAUAAAGUUACUGCACCAGGAUUUUUACAUCGCAUCAUGAAUUACCACUACAAAAUGGGCACCGUAUCAAGAUCUCAGCACUGUAUCAAGCUCUUUGCACUGCAUCAAGAUUUGUAAUUACAAAUCAAUCACUAUAUAUCGGGUCUAUUCGCCCUCGAAUAGGAUAUAUCGGGUCUAUCCGCCCUCAAAUAGGAUAUUUUGGGUUCACCCGCCCUCAAAUAGAAUAUUUCGGUUCAUCCGCCCUCAAAUAGGAUAUAUCGGGUCCAUCCGCCCUCAAACAGGAUAUAUCGGGUCCAUCCGCCUUCAAAAAGAAUAUAUCGGGUCCAUCCACCCUCCAAUAGGAUAUAUCGGGUCUAUCCACCCUCAAAUAGGAUAUAUCGGGUCUACCUUGAAUAGGAUAUAUCGGGUCUAUCUGCCCUCAAAUAGGAUAUAUCGGGUCUAUCUGCCCUCAAAUAGGGUAUUUUGGGUUUAUCCGCUCUCAAAUAGGAUAUUUUGGAUUCAUCCACCCUCAAAUAGGAUAUAUCAGGUCCAUCUGCCCUCAAAAAGGAUAUUUCGGGUUCAUCCGCCCUCCAAUAGGAUAUAUCGGGUCCAUCCGCCCUCCAAUAGGAUAUAUCGGGUUCAUCCACCCUCAAACAGGAUAUAUCGGGUCCAUUCGCCCUCAAAUAGGAUAUAUCGGGUCCAUCUGCCCUCAAAUAGGAUAUAUUGGGUUCAUCUGCCCUCAAAUAGGAUUUAUCGGGUCUAUCCGCCCUCAAAUAGGAUAUACCGGGUCUAUCCGCCCUCAAAUAGGAUAUAUCGGGCCCAUCCGCCCUCAAAUAGGAUAUAUCGGGUCCAUCCGCCCUCAAAUAGGAUAUAUCGGGUCCAUCCGUCCUCAAAUAGAAUAUAUCGGGUUCAUCCACCCUCAAAUAGUAUAUAUCAGGUCUAUCAACCCUCAAAUAGGGUAUAUCAGGUCAAUCCUCCCUCAAAUAGGAUACUAACGUUAAUCCUUCCUCAAAAGGACAUUUAAUUUAUUUCGACCGAGUGGUCCCACAUGCAUAAGUAUUGCCAAAACAUAAUUUUCAUAAAUCAUUGCCAAACGUAUUUAUUUUCAUAAGCUAAAUUUUCAUAUGGCAUUGCGAUCAUGAAAUAUAUCACCAUAAAAUUAUAUUUUUAUAAGUUCGCCCAAUAAAUUCGCAUUUCUUAUGAAUUGACGCCUAAAUAUUAAUUUCGUAAAAUUACUUUUAUGGCAUAUUGCAUCUUAUUUCCUAACAAGUUUUUUUAGCAUUGUUAAGCUUUGCAGGAAAUACAGCGCAAAGUGGAACUAUAUUGUAGCAGUGAACUGGGGUAGCUUGUUGGGGAGGAAUAUCAAACUCUCCAACAAAGGUCAAGGAUCUACUUCGAACUCCGCUCGACUCAACUCUCAAAAUUCCUAACCAAAUCCUUAUUUCAAAUAUCUUUCUUUCAAUCACGGUACCCUGUGUCUCAAUAAUUCAACACUGGGCAGCAUUUUAAGAUUUGCAUCAAUAGUUGAGUCCUACUCCAGGGUACCAUAAGUAUUGAACUACAUAUUGCCUGAUUCUCGUGAAACCCGAGAUAUGUAGGCAACUCGAAACUAGAGUUUGACCAUAAUUAUUUUUUUACGUCCCCUUUGUCCCAUUCCAACCUUGAUGGUCAGGACAAAAUUGGCUACUAUGUCAAUUUCUUUGCCCGAAAACUCUUACAUCAUCUCCGGUCAAAGGGGGGCAACUGUUGACAUCCAAUUUUGUCCCUCCUUUCUUCCAAAUUAUUUUUUAAGCUUCUAAUAUCACUAAUAAUAUAAGGUAGUUAUUCUACUAUAUCUGUUAUUAUUAUUAAAACUCUUACUAUACAUGUUGUUGUUGUUGUUGUUGUUGUUGUUGUUGUCGUCGUCGUCGUCGUCGUCGUCGUCGUCGUCGUCGUCGUCGUCGUUGUCGUCGUUGUCGUCGUUGUUGUCGUUGUCGUCGUCGUCGUUGUUGUUGUUGUUGUUGUUGUUGUUCACUCGUUCAUUCAUUCUUAUCGCCUUUUGUGAAAAAGCAUAUCAUUCUUCUUUAUUUAAUAAAAUAGUAAUGUUUCUUUAAUCCUACGUUUUAUAAAUAUUUGUUCCAAGAAUAUUAUAGUUUUAUACUUAUAUUAGUAUAAGGGAUAUUUUCAUAUGUUAAUAUUAUCUAGUAUUAUAUGAUAUGAUUAUUAAAAUAUUUUAUCUAAAUAGAAGCUCAAAAGAAUUAAUUUGAAGAAUAGAAAAAGGUCAUAAAAUUCGACCAAUUAGGAGCCCAAAACUUCUUUUGUUUUCAGACCAAUUUCAUAGCCCAAAUAAAUAACAUGUUGGAUCUUUUUUUAAGACUAAGAGUUCUUUCUCAAGCCACCAAAUAAGUAGGCCCAUUUUGUUCUAAAAUACCUGAAGCCCAAACGUCCAAAGCUUAGUUCAGCAGCCCAACUACUCUCUUUCCUCACUUAAUCAAAACCUAUAAAUAAAUUAGGUCCCAUUUGUUUCUUCCAAGACUUGUUAUCCCCCACCCUUCCUCUCAUUUCCUCUUAUGAACAAAAUACAAUCUUCUUUAUCCUCUACAUCAGAAUAUGAUAGAUUUUUUUGUGUAUGUGUCAUUUCCCUCUAUCUCAUAUUUUUGUCUCGAUAUUUUCUUUUAUCUCUCUUUUUGUGGUGAAUCUUCAAGGAUCAGACCAAAUUUCACCAUUUCGGGCAUGGCCUGAAGCAUCACGUGAAGAUGAAGUUCGUCCAAACCUCCAACGUUUGGAUUCAAACGGAUGUGUUGACCAAGAUUUCGAAUUUGAAAUUUCAAGUUCCCGCUCUUCAGAAACCCUACCUUUUUAUCGCCUAUAAAUACUUCUCUAAGUCUCAGCCGAAGCCAAGCGGGGAGAACGAUAAAAAUCUCAUCUAUCUUACUACUCUCUUAACACUACUGACCAUUGUUCUUUUAAAUUUGCUUCAUUUUGUUAAAAUCGAUUCUACCUUCGAUCUUGUUCGCGGAGUAGAUCUGAAACCUCAAAAGCCUUAGUUCACUGCCCGCAAAAAUGUCAGUAACUGAAGUAUUUUUUUUCUCUCGUUUUUUCUUCUUCUUCUUUGAAUAUCUGAAAUGAUUGUAUUUUUGUUUGAAUGAGCUGUAGUUUAUUAUGUGUGUGAAUUGUGAUUUAGAGUUAAUUGGUGUAUAGAAAUCAUGAACUUAGUUAUUCUGCUCAAAUAAAAUUUAAACGAAAGUAAGAGUUUGACUAAGUAUUUAUAUAAAUAGAUAGCUGGUGAUAUUAUGGAGUUGUUAAUAUUAUGCCUUUUUUUGCUUUAAGGUGUUACCAUCAAUCUGUAUCUUUCUUUAAUUAAAGUAAUCAGUUUAAAAUCUUUAUCUAGCGUGUAUUUAUUAGCUAAAACUUUUCUUCCUCUGAGUUAACUCUAUCAUUAUUGUGGUCGUUUCGUGUUCAAAAUAUGAUUCUAAGUUUGUUGUUCUUCUAGUUCAAAUGCCAUGGAAAGCACCAUGUUAAAAAAUAACUUUCUACUUAUGUAAUUUGAAUUAUUACUUUAUUUUAGCAAUGAGUUAGAAGAAUUUUUGGUAGAAUUCAUGUAUAAAGUUGCCUAUGAGUAUAACAUUGCUCAUGUAAUUAAAGAGGUAUUAUUAAUAUGUAAAUGCUUAUUCUAAAGAUCAGAGAAGAGACACGUUCUGUUUGAAGUGCUAAUACAUCUUCUUUUGUUGUUUUCAAGUAACAGAAAAUGUAACUCUAGGAUUAGUCAAAUCUAGAUAUUGUAGGACUCAUACUUUACUGGUAUAAGAAUUAUCUCAUGAAUUUCGUUAGAAGAUAUAACUCAUGCUUGACUAACUGAUUCAUUUUGUUUAGCCUGAGUCACUCUGUUCUUCAUAAGAAACUUACUUUGCUUAUAGGAGUG
RNAcentral lists this long non-coding RNA (11864 nucleotides) under Nicotiana tabacum (common tobacco). Its description in RNAcentral is "long non-coding RNA (NTAB_LNC000014)". The record is from RNAcentral. Lineage: Eukaryota; Viridiplantae; Streptophyta; Magnoliopsida; Solanales; Solanaceae.